This 148-nucleotide non-coding RNA is filed under the name Pan paniscus (pygmy chimpanzee). Lineage: Eukaryota; Metazoa; Chordata; Mammalia; Primates; Hominidae. RNAcentral also lists the same sequence under 1 other name. The record is from Rfam by way of RNAcentral.
GCUGGGUGUGGUGGCGCAUGCCUGUAAUCCUAGCUACUCAGGAGGCUGAGGCAGGAGAAUUGCUUGAGCCCAGGAGGCAGAGGUUGCAGUGAGGCAAGAUUGCACCACUGCACUCCAGCCUGGGCAACAGAGUGAGACUCCAUCUCAA